Molecule: long non-coding RNA, 1911 nt
Organism: Columba livia (rock pigeon)
Lineage: Eukaryota; Metazoa; Chordata; Aves; Columbiformes; Columbidae
Exons: 2
Source: RefSeq, a predicted model, not a curated record
GGCCCGCGGGCCCCGCGACCCGUCCCCGCAGCGCCGAGCCCGGCCCGGCCUCCCCACGGCUGCAGCACCGGGAGCGCGGCCGCUCCAGCCCGGCUGCCACCGCGGGCCGGGAGGAGUUCAGGCCCGGAGCCCAGAGGCCCCUCAGCUCAGGCCCUGCACGGCGCUGCUGCCUGACGGGGCCUCCGCCUCGGCCCCGAGGGGUUAGUAACCCCACAGCAAAGGCACAAAGCCCUCUUUUCUGAUCAAGCCUCAGUGGCAGGGGAAACGGCCUCAGUGACCGAGCAAAGGUCACAGGCUCAGAGGCAAUUGCUCCUGACCUUUAAAACCAACUCGGGAAUAGGUACGGGCUGUACUAAGGGACAGGUGAGUACCUGUCAAGCAGGAGGGGAUUCUAGAUCUUAUUUCAUCCAUGCACUGCAUCAAAAGCUGUUUCUACAUCGUUAAUGUGCCUAUAAAAACAUGGCAAUUCCCAAAAGAGUUGCAGAUGAGCCGUUUCAUGUCAUGCAUCGACAAGAAAGAGCUGGCAGUAUAUUAAAGAUUUUAGAAGAAUGAAUUUUGUAAGGCAGUCAGGGGAAACCAGUAGCAGAGAAACGGAGUUCAUGCAAAAAUGAGAGUACACAGCAGAUACGCACACGGUAAACUUCAUUUGAACUUGUUUACAAAAUUGACAAAAAAAAAUAUCACCUUGUAAACUUAUUCACAUUUGUUGGAGCUCACAGAACUGGUUAUACUUGCAUGCUGAAAUAAAGAUUGUCAAGCCUCAUCUCAGCCCGGAUGCCGUCCAGGUGAGCCGACCCUUACAGCAGAAACGAACUCGGCGUGGAACAAGAGUUAAAGCUUGCACUGAGUGAACUUCUCCAGCGACUCCGCACCCCCAGGGCCAGGGCCGGCUCUGAUUCCCGACGCUCCCUCGAGCACAGCGAGCACCAGCAGGUCGGGCUGCCCAGAGCUGGACGGCGUUUGAAAGCGGCAACAAACUUGGGGCGUCACCUCGCGGAGCUGGGGCCGCGAGGGCCAGCGCUGGCAUCGGAAAUCUCUAGGACACACUGCUUGACCUCAGCAACUUUCAGAAGGACAGAAUGGAAGUAAACUGAAAAUACACUUGGAAACAUUGUUUUUGGUAAGCACUUUUUCUGCUUUCACUCUCAGACCUCAGAUUUCAGAAAUGGAAGCAAACAGACAUCAGUGAAGAUUUCUGAGACACCCACACAUUUCAGUACAGGUCAGAUCACAAAAGCAGGAGGUUUGAACAAAGAAUGACUUAAAAAAUAAACCAAACUUUAUCAGUUGUAUUCCAGGGAAUGAACCACCUUAAUGCACGCCUGGUGCUGAACACGCUUGUGAAGCCGUGCAGGAGCCGACGCCGCGCUCACAGGCAGAGCUUUGCCAGGGCUGCUCUCCAGAGGCGAAAUCCAGCACCAACGGGUUAACAGACUUAACAGCACUAAACCUAGAAAUAGUUUUUGGUAUCGUGUCCCCUGGACAGAAACCCAACACCGGGGACUGCGGAAAACAACUCGUCCCAACUGUUAAAGCCAUUACAGUUAAUAGAAAUUCCAAGCUUUCUAUACUGAACCAGGCUGCUUUAGAAAGCAUUUUAACAAUUCCGAAUAAUAUAUUACAAACUUACUGAGAAAAAAAGAUGAACUGGUAUCUUUUUGAGGUACAUGAACAGCAACUUUUAUCAGUCUCCAGACCCUGGAUGCAACCAGAGCGUGAAAAAACCAACAAAAAUCCAACCUGUGCGACUGCAUUAGCACCGAGGGACUUGGAAGACACGGCGCACGGAGGGGACUCGGCUUCGCCGGCUGCUCCGACGGACUCUCGGUGGCGCCGAUCGCUUAGAGUUGGUCUGAACUGAGCAAACUUUAAAAAACAAAUGAGUUUAAGUAUAAAUAAUUCACAAACUGC